GUUAUCGUCACAGAGUCUUACUUGGUUUGCCUUUGGCCAAUAUAAAAUAGAAUUAAUAAACAUUUCUGUAUCGAAGAAGGUCAACUUCGUGCAAGUUCAUGGUGUGGUUUUUGACCCAACUGUUGAAUUAAAAAGUACAGGGGCUGUCAAAAGUUAGUUUUAACUUCCCAACUGUUGAGAGAGAAUCCACGGUAUAUUGGUUGAACGGCUUCAGGAUUAGUUUUAAUCACAGUUUCUAACAAUUAGGUCUCCCCAGGAAUACAUUCUUACCCACAACAACUGCCCAAUACUUGUUGGUGACACUGACAGGAGAGGUCUUUCAUGUAUUGAAAUAAUGUUGGAUAUUUUCAAUAUAAUAUGUCCACUUGUAUGAGUCAUUCCAGAGAGAUUUAACUUGAAAAUUCUUUAUCUGGCUUUGACUGCGUCUGGUGGCUAGCCACCAGCUUAGACUGGUUUGGUAGUGUUUUCUGUUUCAAAAUGUUAGCUUGGCUACAUUAACACGCCAACCGCAGCCUGGAAUAAUAUUCAUGUGAUUGGCCGCAUGGUCACACUCAUCAUUUGCAGUGAAGUGGACAUAAAUGAUCGACAUUCAAUCUUUCUGCUUGCGUCAAUCAAAAUGCAUAUGCAUGCACUGGCAACGCUAUGAAAGAGAAUCAGAAACCUCCCACUCGAUCUAUUUCCUCUGUAUUAGGUCGGCAACAUCUCUAUGCAAUGUGGCAGCAGGCAGCAGCAGCAAGUGAGAGAGAGAUAGUCCAAAUGCUAAGCUUCUUACUGCUAAAGAAAGAAUAGUAACAGUAAAUACUAAAGUUUAUAACGGGAAUUUGUUGUCAAUCCUGAAAGAAAAAUCUUCAUAAAGUUUAGGCGGCUAAUAUUUAUAUUUUAUAAUAUGUAAUUCCAGUGAUUAAUAAAACAAUAGAAAUGAAUUGCACGUAA
This is a long non-coding RNA of Mangifera indica (mango), 933 nucleotides long. RefSeq lists it as uncharacterized. The transcript is spliced from 2 exons. The record is from RefSeq and is a predicted model, not a curated record. NCBI's taxonomy places the organism in Eukaryota, Viridiplantae, Streptophyta, Magnoliopsida, Sapindales, Anacardiaceae.